Molecule: ribosomal RNA, 1175 nt
Filed under: Klebsiella pneumoniae
Lineage: Bacteria; Pseudomonadati; Pseudomonadota; Gammaproteobacteria; Enterobacterales; Enterobacteriaceae
Description: bacterial SSU rRNA
Rfam family: Bacterial small subunit ribosomal RNA
Source: RNAcentral
AAAUUGAAGAGUUUGAUCAUGGCUCAGAUUGAACGCUGGCGGCAGGCCUAACACAUGCAAGUCGAGCGGUAGCACAGAGAGCUUGCUCUCGGGUGACGAGCGGCGGACGGGUGAGUAAUGUCUGGGAAACUGCCUGAUGGAGGGGGAUAACUACUGGAAACGGUAGCUAAUACCGCAUAAUGUCGCAAGACCAAAGUGGGGGACCUUCGGGCCUCAUGCCAUCAGAUGUGCCCAGAUGGGAUUAGCUAGUAGGUGGGGUAACGGCUCACCUAGGCGACGAUCCCUAGCUGGUCUGAGAGGAUGACCAGCCACACUGGAACUGAGACACGGUCCAGACUCCUACGGGAGGCAGCAGUGGGGAAUAUUGCACAAUGGGCGCAAGCCUGAUGCAGCCAUGCCGCGUGUGUGAAGAAGGCCUUCGGGUUGUAAAGCACUUUCAGCGGGGAGGAAGGCGUUAAGGUUAAUAACCUUGGCGAUUGACGUUACCCGCAGAAGAAGCACCGGCUAACUCCGUGCCAGCAGCCGCGGUAAUACGGAGGGUGCAAGCGUUAAUCGGAAUUACUGGGCGUAAAGCGCACGCAGGCGGUCUGUCAAGUCGGAUGUGAAAUCCCCGGGCUCAACCUGGGAACUGCAUUCGAAACUGGCAGGCUAGAGUCUUGUAGAGGGGGGUAGAAUUCCAGGUGUAGCGGUGAAAUGCGUAGAGAUCUGGAGGAAUACCGGUGGCGAAGGCGGCCCCCUGGACAAAGACUGACGCUCAGGUGCGAAAGCGUGGGGAGCAAACAGGAUUAGAUACCCUGGUAGUCCACGCCGUAAACGAUGUCGACUUGGAGGUUGUGCCCUUGAGGCGUGGCUUCCGGAGCUAACGCGUUAAGUCGACCGCCUGGGGAGUACGGCCGCAAGGUUAAAACUCAAAUGAAUUGACGGGGGCCCGCACAAGCGGUGGAGCAUGUGGUUUAAUUCGAUGCAACGCGAAGAACCUUACCUGGUCUUGACAUCCACAGAACUUUCCAGAGAUGGAUUGGUGCCUUCGGGAACUGUGAGACAGGUGCUGCAUGGCUGUCGUCAGCUCGUGUUGUGAAAUGUUGGGUUAAGUCCCGCAACGAGCGCAACCCUUAUCCUUUGUUGCCAGCGGUUCGGCCGGGAACUCAAAGGAGACUGCCAGUGAUAAACUGGAG